Long non-coding RNA from Cygnus olor (mute swan), 609 nucleotides. RefSeq lists it as uncharacterized. The record is from RefSeq and is a predicted model, not a curated record. The transcript has 4 exons. NCBI's taxonomy places the organism in Eukaryota, Metazoa, Chordata, Aves, Anseriformes, Anatidae.
CCGCUGGCCGGGCCCAGCCGUUCCCCAAGAGCAGCGCAGAGGAACGGGGGAGCCAGCGCCCAGCCGUGAGGAGGACCCGUGCCAAAUAUCUGAGCCAGCCGGCCGUGGGAAUUACGCUCCCAUUCAGGGCAGCAGCGGAGCUGGCUUCACGUCGUGCUCUGCCAAGCGCGGGUUGUGCGAGCGGCUCUGGCGGCCGCGGGGCAUCAGCGGAGACUCAUGGAACUUGAGCAACAUAAGCUUCUGCUGAGAAUUCUACAGCCUGUUGAGGACACACUCAGGGAGAAGUAAAAACGAGUUUGGAAGACGGAUACAGUAGAAACAUGGGGAUCUGUUACAGGUUUGAAGGAGGAAGAAGUGCUUGGAAUGAGGUAGCGUCGAGAAGAGAAUGCAUCUCUGCUAAUCAGAUACAUAAGAAAGAAUUUCAAAGGACAGUCUAGGCCCGCACAUAGCUUAUGGAAAACAUCAAUUAUCCGGACACCUAAAAUCUCCUCUAGGUCAGGCACAGAAGAGUUUAUCUUGUGGACCAAAAUUCUCAUUGGGUGCUGAGAGCUGCCAGAUUUUUCGAUAUUCAGGAGGACAUCAAGGUUUGAAGGAGGAUCAGAAGGCUGC